RNAcentral lists this ribosomal RNA (493 nucleotides) under uncultured bacterium. RNAcentral's name for it is "partial 16S ribosomal RNA". It matches the Rfam family "Bacterial small subunit ribosomal RNA", at positions 30 to 523 of the family's 1533-position model. The record is from RNAcentral.
AUUGAACGCUGGCGGCAUGCCUUACACAUGCAAGUCGAACGGUAACAGGUUAAGCUGACGAGUGGCGAACGGGUGAGUAAUAUAUCGGAACGUGCCCAGUCGUGGGGGAUAACGUAGCGAAAGCUACGCUAAUACCGCAUACGAUCUACGGAUGAAAGCGGGGGACCGCAAGACCUCGCGCGAUUGGAGCGGCCGAUAUCAGAUUAGGUUGUUGGUGAGGUAAAAGCUCACCAAGCCUGCGAUCUGUAGCUGGUCUGAGAGGACGACCAGCCACACUGGAACUGAGACACGGUCCAGACUCCUACGGGAGGCAGCAGUGGGGAAUUUUGGACAAUGGACGCAAGUCUGAUCCAGCAAUGCCGCGUGCAGGACGAAGGCCUUCGGGUUGUAAACUGCUUUUGUACGGAACGAAACGGUGAGCCCUAAUACAGUUUGCUAAUGACGGUACCGUAAGAAUAAGCACCGGCUAACUACGUGCCAGCCGCCGCGGUAA